CUUGGCUCGUGUGGGCAUGUCGGGUCCCUGCUCUGGCAGCGACGGCAUGCAGCACGGGCCUCCUCAGUUGGUGUUGGUUCAAGCGCUUAUAGCCUUGGCCGUUGUCGGUUUUCUGUGUUGCAUACCUGUUCGUAGGUAUCGGUUGGCCUAAACUUCCAUUUUCCGCCAUGCAUUGCGCCCGUAAUGGGUCGCGGUGUGGGGCGGACCACGAAGACCCGUCGAGUUCCGCGUACCGUGCGCCGGAAACCGCGUGUGGACGUUGGCCCCCGACGACGUGCUCGAUCUCUCGGAUGCGGAAAAUCAUGCGGCAUGUGGCCAUCCGCCACUAUUUGCCCCAUAAAAAGCGUUUCGCGCUUCGUGCGAACGACAGCCGCCCCCGUCUCGAUCGGGCCCUUGUGGCUCCCGUCGUGCGGUGUCGGCGUCGGUGAGGAA
RNAcentral lists this unclassified non-coding RNA (432 nucleotides) under Diplacus clivicola. RNAcentral's name for it is "partial external transcribed spacer". Lineage: Eukaryota; Viridiplantae; Streptophyta; Magnoliopsida; Lamiales; Phrymaceae. The record is from RNAcentral.